This is a long non-coding RNA of Maniola jurtina (meadow brown), 1162 nucleotides long. RefSeq lists it as uncharacterized. The transcript has 2 exons. The record is from RefSeq and is a predicted model, not a curated record. NCBI's taxonomy places the organism in Eukaryota, Metazoa, Arthropoda, Insecta, Lepidoptera, Nymphalidae.
UAAAAUAUUAAAAUAUAAUAACGUAGGUACGUACUUACAACAUAUUUUUUUUGAAUAAGUAUCUAUAAAAGGUACCGGCUAAUUUUGGUAACCUUUUUAUUAAUAUAACUUAUCUAAAACUUUUUAUUAGAUAGGUAUAAUAGGUUUGAAUAGAUAGGUUAUAAACAUCAUAGAGAUAGGUUUAUGGUAAACAUUGAAAUAUAAAUAUUAUAAUAUUUCGAUGUUUGAGUAUGACGUGUUCCAUACCUAAUAAUACUCGUAUUUAGGUAAGUAUUUUAAUUAUUGUGGACCGUAUGUAUGUGUUACUGUUACUGUAAAAGCUCAGCCUGCGAUAUAUUCUAAGAUUUUCAAAUUAUGCCCAAGGUUUACCCAGGCUUUUUAAGACUCUGACUGUAAAAUCUGAAAUACCUAAGUGAUCGUUAAUUUCGAACUGUUUUUAUCAGUUUUCUUGACAGACACGACGAACGGACGGCCGGACAGGCAGACAGACAACAAAGUACGGAACCCUAAAAACGAGCUACGCCAUCCCUUCAAUAUGCUUCUACUCGCUUCUACUCUCGUUUCGUUACGAAUGUCGCCGGCUCGCUUCUCUCGCCACCUCCACCGUAGACCGAGCUUUUACAGUUGUAAUAAACCAGUGGUGUAAGCACACACUUCAAUUUGCCUUGUGAUGUAAAAUUUUUGUACUGUGCCGGUUGGAGAUAACAUGUAUUUUAUUCUUAUAAUUAUAUGGUUCUGAGAUUGAAAAAUUAGAAAAAAAUUAAUUCAUAAAUGUAAAUAUUUUACAAGAACUGGUUCGCAGGUAGGAAAAUACAAGUAUAAAAUGCUUAAAAUUACUUAAACAAGAGAGUUUCUCAGUCAUUUGUAAUUAGGUAGGUAUACCUAGUUAACUAGGUACUUAUCUACCUACAUAUUAUUUAGUGGGCAUUAUUAUGUAAAAAAACAACAUUUCGACGGUAAGUAUGUAAGAUAGGAGUUAAUAUUUUGGGAAUCUUGUAAAACGUAGGUAGGUACCUAUAAUAAUAUUGGAACAUUGUAUCUUGAGGUACCUACUUUACUCGACUAUACAAUAUCUACUCAUGUGCCCAUAGUGCCCAAUUCUUCUUUAGUUAUUAUAUAGCUGCAUUAAAGUUUGCGUUUUGUAUUUUUAUUAGGUACUAGA